AACCGCCACCGUCUCAGCCUGAAGGCGCCCGAUCUCGUCUGAUCUCGGAAGCUAAGCAGGGUCGGGCCUGGUUAGUAUCUUGGAUGGGAGACCACCUGGGAAUCCCGGGUGCUCGAGGUCU
Ribosomal RNA from Bison bison bison, 121 nucleotides. The record is from Ensembl. Lineage: Eukaryota; Metazoa; Chordata; Mammalia; Artiodactyla; Bovidae.